This 307-nucleotide ribosomal RNA is filed under the name Fusarium sp. BAB-2285. RNAcentral describes it as "eukaryotic LSU rRNA". It matches the Rfam family "Eukaryotic large subunit ribosomal RNA", at positions 364 to 664 of the family's 3401-position model. The record is from RNAcentral. Lineage: Eukaryota; Fungi; Ascomycota; Sordariomycetes; Hypocreales; Nectriaceae.
GUAGUACGAAUGAAAAGCCUUUGAAAAGAGAGUUAAAAAGUACGUGAAAUUGUUGAAAGGGAAGCGUUUAUGACCAGACUUGGGCUUGGUUAAUCAUCUGGGGUUCUCCCCAGUGCACUUUUCCAGUCCAGGCCAGCAUCAGUUUUCGCCGGGGGAUAAAGGCUUCGGGAAUGUGGCUCUCUCCGGGGAGUGUUAUAGCCCGUUGCGUAAUACCCUGGCGGGGACUGAGGUUCGCGCAUCUGCAAGGAUGCUGGCGUAAUGGUCAUCAACGACCCGUCUUGAAACACGGAACCAAGACGGUCGGUCG